GCCUACGGGGCGCAGCAGUGGGGGAUAUUGCACAAUGGGGGAAACCCUGAUGCAGCGACGCCGCGUGGGUGAAGAAGCGCCUCGGCGCGUAAAGCCCUGUCAGCAGGGAAGAAAAUGACGGUACCUGAAGAAGAAGCCCCGGCUAACUACGUGCCAGCAGCCGCGGUAAUACGUAGGGGGCAAGCGUUAUCCGGAUUUACUGGGUGUAAAGGGAGCGUAGACGGUUCUGCAAGCCAGAUGUGAAAGCCCGGGGCUCAACCCCGGGACUGCAUUUGGAACUGUAAGGCUAGAGUGUCGGAGAGGCG
This 305-nucleotide ribosomal RNA is filed under the name uncultured bacterium. Its description in RNAcentral is "bacterial SSU rRNA". It matches the Rfam family "Bacterial small subunit ribosomal RNA", at positions 337 to 659 of the family's 1533-position model. The record is from RNAcentral.